UGCUAUACAUGCAGUCGUACGCUUCUUUUUCCACCGGAGCUUGCUCCACCGGAAAAAGAAGAGUGGCGAACGGGUGAGUAACACGUGGGUAACCUGCCCAUCAGAAGGGGAUAACACUUGGAAACAGGUGCUAAUACCGUAUAACAAUCGAAACCGCAUGGUUUUGAUUUGAAAGGCGCUUUCGGGUGUCGCUGAUGGAUGGACCCGCGGUGCAUUAGCUAGUUGGUGAGGUAACGGCUCACCAAGGCCACGAUGCAUAGCCGACCUGAGAGGGUGAUCGGCCACACUGGGACUGAGACACGGCCCAAACUCCUACGGGAGGCAGCAGUAGGGAAUCUUCGGCAAUGGACGAAACCCUGACCGAGCAACCCCGCGUGAAUGAAGAAGGUUUUCGGAUCGUAAAACUCUGUUGUUAGAGUCAAGAACAAGUGAUGAGAGUGGAAAUGUUCAUCACUGUGACGGUAGCUAACCAGAAAGCCACGGCUAACUACGUGCCAGCAGCCGCGGUAAUACGUAGGUCCCAAGCGUUGUCCGGAUUUAUUGGGCGUAAAGCGAGCGCAGGCGGUUUCAUAAGUCUGAAGUGAAAGCCCCCGGCUCAACCAGGGAGGGUCACUUUGGAAACUGGCAAACUUGAGUGCAGAAGAGGAGAGUGGAAUUCCAUGUGUAGCGGUGAAAUGCGUAGAUAUAUGGAGGAACACCAGUGGCGAAAGCGGCUCUCUGGUCUGUAACUGACGCUGAGGCUCGAAAGCGUGGGGAGCAAACAGGAUUAGAUACCCUGGUAGUCCACGCCGUAAACGAUGAGUGCUAAGUGUUGGAGCCUUUCCGCCAUUCAGUGCCGCAGCUAACGCAUUAAGCAGGUCUUGAGAUUCAGUUGGGCACUCUAGCGAGACUGCCGGUUAUGACCUGGGCUACACACGUGCU
Molecule: ribosomal RNA, 921 nt
Filed under: Enterococcus durans
Lineage: Bacteria; Bacillati; Bacillota; Bacilli; Lactobacillales; Enterococcaceae
Description: bacterial SSU rRNA
Rfam family: Bacterial small subunit ribosomal RNA
Source: RNAcentral